AACCUUUCCUCCACUUUGCUGAUUACUUUCCCCUCAAAACUGCGAAACCUGGAGGAUUGAAAUGAAACACUUCCAAACUAUUAUUUUAACAAAUAUGCAACACUUAAAAAAAACUUCAUUACUCAUGCCAUGCUGUUUGUCUGCUUGAAACAGCAGAACUGUGGAAUGAAAGUAAAGACUGGGAAUCCAUGAGUCCAUCAUUCCUGACUUCUCUCUUGAAAAUAGCGUAUAGAAAUUGGCACGGUUGAGAUUACUGUGAUUAUAGACAUGACAUGUAAGCACAUCUGCUCUCUCCUCAGUGUGUGAAUGGCUGUCUCUCAGGUGGCACCUAGGGCUACUCAUCUAUGGCGUCUCAUUCCGGCUCCAUCAGGCACAUAAUGGUCACUCCAUUCUCAUCUUACACAGAGAAGUUAGGUGAAUCCACAGUGCGCCCAAAUCAGAUGAUUGUGUGACUGUAGCUUGGGGAGGGGGGGCAUUUUUCAGGUAUUUUAUGAUUGAACCCACUCGACUAAUCUGUAUCUGCUUCUGUAAAUCAUAAACAAUUGCAUGUAAGCACAGGGAUAUGUGUGGAGGAUAAUGCUGCCGGUGUGUUUGAGGGAAGUUAACAUUACAGGGGGUUUGAAGAACCAAGAAACAUAUUAGUUGGGAAGCUGGAGUGAGUUGGUGAGGGGCCAAGUCAAUCGAAAAAGGUCUUUGAGCCUCGGUGGGGCAUUUUGGCAGGGCCUCUUCUGAGUGCUCGAGCUCACUGCCCAUGCUAGAUUCAUCCCCGAGCCAGGGGUGUCUUUUCAUGCUCAGAAUGCAGACGCAGAGCAACAUUGCCACGAGGGCCAGAACAAUAUAGCUAAGCUCUCACCAUUAGUUCCCACUCCUUUUUUUGUGUGUGUGUGUGAGUCUGCAACAGCCUGUAAUUACCUCCAGCUGAAAACAAGAACAUGCUGAAAUGCCCAUUGCGGCAUAGAAAUGGAAUUAUAGCCCAUGUCUCUUUCCUUUCUCUCUCCAGAAAAUACAUCUCUUUGUGUGGGAUGUGUUCAGUAUAGUUGGAACUGUUUUUGCAGAGAAAAAAAGGGGGGAGUUCUUUCCACAGGCCAGUCAUGUGUGAAGUUCUUUGUUAAAAAAAUCCCCCUCCUGUCUUGAUGAUGAUAGAAAAUUGAUCAGGCCUGAAUCAGAGGUUCAAUGUGUCGUCCCCUGUGUCUAUUGUCUAGGUGAAUAGCACAUGCUGAAGGCCCAGAGCAGGUUGCUAUUAAUAUGACAGUCCACUCCAUACUCUGCUAUAAUUUCUAAUGAAAUACCUAAUCUCCAUUAUUUGGAUCCAAGCAGGCGAUACCGAGAGAGAGAGAAGAGCGAGGGAGACGGGAGAGAGAGAGGGGCAGCCAGAGAGGAAGAAAAGGCUUUUCUUUGAGUUCUUCAUGGCAGUUGUAUGAGAAAUGACAAACCAAUAAUUUUUGUCAAGUUCUCUUUUUUUAGCCAACUGAAACGCAGUGGAUUGCCACAGUUUAAAAAGACACAGAUAAAGACAUUCAGAGCCAUUCAUGCACCAUUUCUUUGCUGAAUGAGGACGCCAUCUGUUUUUUUUUUUACUUCCUUUUCCUCCCCCCUUCUCCUUUUUUCAAUCCUUGUAAUCAAAUUUGAGCGAAAUCAAAUGGGGAGGGGGGGCUCAAUGAAAGUACCUUUUGUUGGUUUGAAACGAGCAAGUAAUUUACAAAAUGCCCUUCCUUUGUGUGCGAGGCUAAAGGAAAAAAGAAAUCAGUAGCUUUUAAAGCUAGGCCUUGCUGUGACUGCGAAGAUAAUGAAAGCCGUCUGUGUUGUGGGUUAGAAAGCACUUUCAAAGACAGGCCUGGCUCAGGGUUGCGACGCUGAAAAACCUCCGCGCGCGUGUGUUUGUUUUGUGUGGAGUGCCGAAGGCAGGCAUCCACACACUGCGAUCUCGGGGGUGAGAUGGGGAAGACAGCUGCCCCGGCGAAGACGAAGGGGAAGGGGAAGGAGCCGCCUGGCACUGAUGUGUACCUGCUCUCUCUUCAGGCAGGCUCCCCCUCACAAUAGGAACCGGCAAGAGAGGGAAGCACUGCGUGGAGUGUACGAGGGAUCCGCCUGGACUUCAACUUACAUCUGAUCUACUCUACACUAAAGGAUGGAUGGAUAGAUGAUGGACGUUGGCUGGGAAGAGAAGAGGAAAGGAAAGGAAGAGAGGAGGAUGGCAGGAUGUUUUCUGGUAUCAGGCAGGUGGCACUGGUCGUGGAGAUCUGGUCUCUGUGAAGGAAGUGAUGAAAAGGAGAAGGUUGAACAAUCCCCCCGCUCUGGCUACCUAGAGGAUCCAGAAGCCCCAGGAAAACGUGGAAGCCGGAGCAGUCUGGGAAGUGGAUUAGGCACGCAGGUGCAGACCUGGGCUGGCGACCAAAGACUAACGUUAAGCGAGAAGACUGAGCGGCUGUAUGCUGGUGUCGGAGCUAUGCUGCCCCGGGAAGCCAGCGAGCCAGGGAGGCAUGAGAACAGGGUGCCCGGGGAGAGUACAGUAGUUUCAGAUCUCGCCGGAAAAACCGUCAGCGGGGCUUGACGGCACACUUCUAACACUGGUGGGAUACAUCGUUCUGCCAAUCAACCCACGAUAAGGACAACUCCCAACUGAAGCUGCAUACACGCCUUUGUCUGCGGAUUUCGAGGAAGCCACCAUGCAAAAGGUUGUUCCAUGUUAUCCUAGUCUGAGAGGGAAGAUAAAACGCCCAUAAUGUUGAAGAUUCACAUCAAGUUUUCCCCAGCAUGGCUGUGAUAAUUGGAUUUUGCGGACACCUGUAUGAGUGCAGUAUAUCCAGGGGAUUAUAACCAGGGAUGGGGGGAGCCCGGCUGUUUGCUGUCCUCUGUGUCACUUCCUUCAAGCACACAGAUAACCGGCCUGGUCCACGGAGAUAGCAGCCCUCUAUCACAUCAAGUGCUGCUCAAAUCCCAGGACUGAGUGUUUGUCUGAGGGGACCGAGUCACGCACGCACACACACACACACAUGCACUAACACACACACACACACACAGACACACCUGUGACUGGGACGCUGAUGCCUCCCUCAAGGCAGGUGUCUGAAUGAGAACUUGCGUGCGUGUGUGUGUGUGUGUGUGUGUGUCAGGGAGAUGACAAAAGUACGAGAACGUGUAAGAGAUGUUGAUCCAGUUAGUGUGAUUACAUGUGUAUGAGAGUGUAUGUGUAUUUGUAGAGAUUUGUGUGUG
Long non-coding RNA from Clupea harengus (Atlantic herring), 3213 nucleotides. RefSeq lists it as uncharacterized. The record is from RefSeq and is a predicted model, not a curated record. Lineage: Eukaryota; Metazoa; Chordata; Actinopteri; Clupeiformes; Clupeidae.